GAGUUUGAUCCUGGCUCAGGAUGAACGCUAGCGGCAGGCCUAACACAUGCAAGUCGAGGGGUAACGGGGUAGCUUGCUACCGCCGACGACCGGCGCACGGGUGCGUAACGCGUAUACAAUCUACCUUAUAGAGGGGAAUAGCCCAGAGAAAUUUGGAUUAAUGCCCCAUAGUAUUAUUGAUUAGCAUUAUUUAAUAAUUAAACAUUUAUGGCUAUAAGAUGAGUAUGCGUUCUAUUAGCUAGAUGGUAAGGUAACGGCUUACCAUGGCAACGAUAGAUAGGGGUCCUGAGAGGGAGAUCCCCCACACUGGUACUGAGACACGGACCAGACUCCUACGGGAGGCAGCAGUGAGGAAUAUUGGACAAUGGGAGCAAUCCUGAUCCAGCCAUGCCGCGUGCAGGAAGACUGCCCUAUGGGUUGUAAACUGCUUUUAUACAGGAAGAAAAAGGUGUACGUGUACACUGUUGACGGUACUGUAAGAAUAAGGAUCGGCUAACUCCGUGCCAGCAGCCGCGGUAAUACGGAGGAUCCAAGCGUUAUCCGGAAUCAUUGGGUUUAAAGGGUCCGUAGGCGGGAUGAUAAGUCAGUGGUGAAAGUCUGCAGCUCAACUGUAGAAUUGCCAUUGAUACUGUUGUUCUUGAGUUAUUGUGAAGUGGUUAGAAUGAGUAGUGUAGCGGUGAAAUGCAUAGAUAUUACUCAGAAUACCGAUUGCGAAGGCAGAUCACUAACAAUGAACUGACGCUGAUGGACGAAAGCGUAGGUAGCGAACAGGAUUAGAUACCCUGGUAGUCUACGCCGUAAACGAUGGUUACUAGCUGUUCGGACUAAUUGUGGUCUGAGUGGCUAAGCGAAAGUGAUAAGUAACCCACCUGGGGAGUACGUUCGCAAGAAUGAAACUCAAAGGAAUUGACGGGGGCCCGCACAAGCGGUGGAGCAUGUGGUUUAAUUCGAUGAUACGCGAGGAACCUUACCAAGGCUUAAAUG
RNAcentral lists this ribosomal RNA (984 nucleotides) under uncultured Bacteroidota bacterium. RNAcentral describes it as "bacterial SSU rRNA". It matches the Rfam family "Bacterial small subunit ribosomal RNA", at positions 9 to 987 of the family's 1533-position model. The record is from RNAcentral. Lineage: Bacteria; Pseudomonadati; Bacteroidota.